Molecule: ribosomal RNA, 606 nt
Filed under: Klebsiella pneumoniae
Lineage: Bacteria; Pseudomonadati; Pseudomonadota; Gammaproteobacteria; Enterobacterales; Enterobacteriaceae
Description: bacterial SSU rRNA
Rfam family: Bacterial small subunit ribosomal RNA
Source: RNAcentral
AAGCGGUGGAGCAUGUGGUUUAAUUCGAUGCAACGCGAAGAACCUUACCUGGUCUUGACAUCCACAGAACUUUCCAGAGAUGGAUUGGUGCCUUCGGGAACUGUGAGACAGGUGCUGCAUGGCUGUCGUCAGCUCGUGUUGUGAAAUGUUGGGUUAAGUCCCGCAACGAGCGCAACCCUUAUCCUUUGUUGCCAGCGGUCCGGCCGGGAACUCAAAGGAGACUGCCAGUGAUAAACUGGAGGAAGGUGGGGAUGACGUCAAGUCAUCAUGGCCCUUACGACCAGGGCUACACACGUGCUACAAUGGCAUAUACAAAGAGAAGCGACCUCGCGAGAGCAAGCGGACCUCAUAAAGUAUGUCGUAGUCCGGAUUGGAGUCUGCAACUCGACUCCAUGAAGUCGGAAUCGCUAGUAAUCGUAGAUCAGAAUGCUACGGUGAAUACGUUCCCGGGCCUUGUACACACCGCCCGUCACACCAUGGGAGUGGGUUGCAAAAGAAGUAGGUAGCUUAACCUUCGGGAGGGCGCUUACCACUUUGUGAUUCAUGACUGGGGUGAAGUCGUAACAAGGUAACCGUAGGGGAACCUGCGGUUGGAUCACCUCCUUA